This 1489-nucleotide ribosomal RNA is filed under the name Lactiplantibacillus plantarum. RNAcentral's name for it is "bacterial SSU rRNA". It matches the Rfam family "Bacterial small subunit ribosomal RNA". Lineage: Bacteria; Bacillati; Bacillota; Bacilli; Lactobacillales; Lactobacillaceae. The record is from RNAcentral.
GACGAACGCUGGCGGCGUGCCUAAUACAUGCAAGUCGAACGAACUCUGGUAUUGAUUGGUGCUUGCAUCAUGAUUUACAUUUGAGUGAGUGGCGAACUGGUGAGUAACACGUGGGAAACCUGCCCAGAAGCGGGGGAUAACACCUGGAAACAGAUGCUAAUACCGCAUAACAACUUGGACCGCAUGGUCCGAGUUUGAAAGAUGGCUUCGGCUAUCACUUUUGGAUGGUCCCGCGGCGUAUUAGCUAGAUGGUGGGGUAACGGCUCACCAUGGCAAUGAUACGUAGCCGACCUGAGAGGGUAAUCGGCCACAUUGGGACUGAGACACGGCCCAAACUCCUACGGGAGGCAGCAGUAGGGAAUCUUCCACAAUGGACGAAAGUCUGAUGGAGCAACGCCGCGUGAGUGAAGAAGGGUUUCGGCUCGCAAAACUCUGUUGUUAAAGAAGAACAUAUCUGAGAGUAACUGUUCAGGUAUUGACGGUAUUUAACCAGAAAGCCACGGCUAACUACGUGCCAGCAGCCGCGGUAAUACGUAGGUGGCAAGCGUUGUCCGGAUUUAUUGGGCGUAAAGCGAGCGCAGGCGGUUUUUUAAGUCUGAUGUGAAAGCCUUCGGCUCAACCGAAGAAGUGCAUCGGAAACUGGGAAACUUGAGUGCAGAAGAGGACAGUGGAACUCCAUGUGUAGCGGUGAAAUGCGUAGAUAUAUGGAAGAACACCAGUGGCGAAGGCGGCUGUCUGGUCUGUAACUGACGCUGAGGCUCGAAAGUAUGGGUAGCAAACAGGAUUAGAUACCCUGGUAGUCCAUACCGUAAACGAUGAAUGCUAAGUGUUUGAGGGUUUCCGCCCUUCAGUGCUGCAGCUAACGCAUUAAGCAUUCCGCCUGGGGAGUACGGCCGCAAGGCUGAAACUCAAAGGAAUUGACGGGGGCCCGCACAAGCGGUGGAGCAUGUGGUUUAAUUCGAAGCUACGCGAAGAACCUUACCAGGUCUUGACAUACUAUGCAAAUCUAAGAGAUUAGACGUUCCCUUCGGGGACAUGGAUACAGGUGGUGCAUGGUUGUCGUCAGCUCGUGUCGUGAGAUGUUGGGUUAAGUCCCGCAACGAGCGCAACCCUUAUUAUCAGUUGCCAGCAUUAAGUUGGGCACUCUGGUGAGACUGCCGGUGACAAACCGGAGGAAGGUGGGGAUGACGUCAAAUCAUCAUGCCCCUUAUGACCUGGGCUACACACGUGCUACAAUGGAUGGUACAACGAGUUGCGAACUCGCGAGAGUAAGCUAAUCUCUUAAAGCCAUUCUCAGUUCGGAUUGUAGGCUGCAACUCGCCUACAUGAAGUCGGAAUCGCUAGUAAUCGCGGAUCAGCAUGCCGCGGUGAAUACGUUCCCGGGCCUUGUACACACCGCCCGUCACACCAUGAGAGUUUGUAACACCCAAAGUCGGUGGGGUAACCUUUUAGGAACCAGCCGCCUAAGGUGGGACAGAUGAUUAGGGUG